AGUGGCUGGCGGGGGAAGCCAUGAGUGAGAAGGGCGGAUCCCCAUUAGUGCAUUCUUUAUCAGCAGGAAAACUGACUGGCAGAACGUUCAUUACAAGAAAUAGCUAAGAAUACCCGCAAAUGCUCCUGCUAGAGUGGCUGGCCAAUGAUGCUCACAGCAUUCAACUGGUUUACUAAUGCAAUUUCCAAAGUCUUCUACAUUUCCUCAAAAACCCAGCAUCAUCAGGUUCUUCAUAGCAACACCCUAGCCUCUUACAACUGGAACCUUGAGAGCCAAGGGAGAUUGUGGAGAGGAUGUGAGCAGAUGGCCGCUGAGGAUAGCUGACCGGGUGGGCUGGGACCCAGGCCAGGACCUGCCACCUGAGGAUUGUGCCUGCUAUGUCCAGAUGAUGAUGAGCCUCCAAAUAGGGGGCUUUGCUCUGCUGAAAAUCAUAAAGUUGAAAAAUGAAAAGAGAUAAAACCUUAAUGACAGGAGAAUGUUUUGUCUUUAGUGAAAAGGACAACUUCUUAAGAUUUAUUUUAUUUUUUAUUCUGUAUAUGUACGUGGGUAUGUUCAUGCAAAUUUGGGUGACUGAGGAGGUCAGGGUAUCUGAAGCUGGGACUACAGGCAAUUGGAAGCUACCAAGCAUAGGAAUCUAAUUGUUGUCCUUUGUAUGAGCAGAGAGUACUCCUAACUGCAGAGCCUUCUCCCUGCUUAAGGAGGACUUUUAGAAACAAGAUUGUUAGAGAAUAUAAAGGUUAUAAUUUGAUGUAUUUAAAAAGUUAACUUUUAUUCACUACAGACACUAGAAAUAAUAUUUACAAUGUAUAUAAUGCAUGUGAUUAUAAAACUAGAAGUAGCAAUAUUAAAUAUAAAUGAAUUAUUAUAAGUCAGAUAAGAGAGAUGGGCACCCCAGUAAGAAAAAGCCCACUAACGUAACUAAAAUGUGGACAAAUGACAGUGUAUUUUUUUAAUUUUUACAAUUGUAAUGUUAUAUGCAAACACUUUUUUGUAUAAAAAGGUGUUUAUUUUCACUGGGAAAAUGUGAAACACAAAGCAAGAGAGCCCUAUUGAACUAGCACAAAUUUAAGAUUUAGUAACAAGAACUAGCAAGGAGGUGAAGAUAUGAUACCCUUUUUUUGACAAUCUGACAGAAGCUUCUUAACUUACAACAUCCCCAAACCAUUUUCCAAAGCCAACUCUCAUCAUAGAACUCUUGAGCUAGCAAAAGAUACUAGUUUUAAUAUUGUUUAUAGUCUUGGAAGUAUGAAAACCAACUAUUUAUUGCAUGGAAUAUAGUUGUUAUAAAGUAAGUUAUGAUCAUUCUAUGGAGCAUUAUGCACCACUUAGAAAGAAUUAUCUAGGGUUUUAUACACAAUAGAGCUCUCCAGGAUGUUUUACUGGGGGAGAGAAGAUACACAAUCCUAAACAGAGUAACUCUCUUUGUUACAGAACAUGA
Molecule: long non-coding RNA, 1438 nt
Organism: Apodemus sylvaticus (European woodmouse)
Lineage: Eukaryota; Metazoa; Chordata; Mammalia; Rodentia; Muridae
Exons: 3
Source: RefSeq, a predicted model, not a curated record